Molecule: ribosomal RNA, 2427 nt
Filed under: Staphylococcus aureus
Lineage: Bacteria; Bacillati; Bacillota; Bacilli; Caryophanales; Staphylococcaceae
Description: partial 23S ribosomal RNA
Rfam family: Bacterial large subunit ribosomal RNA
Source: RNAcentral
AGAUUAAGUUAUUAAGGGCGCACGGUGGAUGCCUUGGCACUAGAAGCCGAUGAAGGACGUUACUAACGACGAUAUGCUUUGGGGAGCUGUAAGUAAGCUUUGAUCCAGAGAUUUCCGAAUGGGGAAACCCAGCAUGAGUUAUGUCAUGUUAUCGAUAUGUGAAUACAUAGCAUAUCAGAAGGCACACCCGGAGAACUGAAACAUCUUAGUACCCGGAGGAAGAGAAAGAAAAUUCGAUUCCCUUAGUAGCGGCGAGCGAAACGGGAAGAGCCCAAACCAACAAGCUUGCUUGUUGGGGUUGUAGGACACUCUAUACGGAGUUACAAAGGACGACAUUAGACGAAUCAUCUGGAAAGAUGAAUCAAAGAAGGUAAUAAUCCUGUAGUCGAAAAUGUUGUCUCUCUUGAGUGGAUCCUGAGUACGACGGAGCACGUGAAAUUCCGUCGGAAUCUGGGAGGACCAUCUCCUAAGGCUAAAUACUCUCUAGUGACCGAUAGUGAACCAGUACCGUGAGGGAAAGGUGAAAAGCACCCCGGAAGGGGAGUGAAAUAGAACCUGAAACCGUGUGCUUACAAGUAGUCAGAGCCCGUUAAUGGGUGAUGGCGUGCCUUUUGUAGAAUGAACCGGCGAGUUACGAUUUGAUGCAAGGUUAAGCAGUAAAUGUGGAGCCGUAGCGAAAGCGAGUCUGAAUAGGGCGUUUAGUAUUUGGUCGUAGACCCGAAACCAGGUGAUCUACCCUUGGUCAGGUUGAAGUUCAGGUAACACUGAAUGGAGGACCGAACCGACUUACGUUGAAAAGUGAGCGGAUGAACUGAGGGUAGCGGAGAAAUUCCAAUCGAACCUGGAGAUAGCUGGUUCUCUCCGAAAUAGCUUUAGGGCUAGCCUCAAGUGAUGAUUAUUGGAGGUAGAGCACUGUUUGGACGAGGGGCCCCUCUCGGGUUACCGAAUUCAGACAAACUCCGAAUGCCAAUUAAUUUAACUUGGGAGUCAGAACAUGGGUGAUAAGGUCCGUGUUCGAAAGGGAAACAGCCCAGACCACCAGCUAAGGUCCCAAAAUAUAUGUUAAGUGGAAAAGGAUGUGGCGUUGCCCAGACAACUAGGAUGUUGGCUUAGAAGCAGCCAUCAUUUAAAGAGUGCGUAAUAGCUCACUAGUCGAGUGACACUGCGCCGAAAAUGUACCGGGGCUAAACAUAUUACCGAAGCUGUGGAUUGUCCUUUGGACAAUGGUAGGAGAGCGUUCUAAGGGCGUUGAAGCAUGAUCGUAAGGACAUGUGGAGCGCUUAGAAGUGAGAAUGCCGGUGUGAGUAGCGAAAGACGGGUGAGAAUCCCGUCCACCGAUUGACUAAGGUUUCCAGAGGAAGGCUCGUCCGCUCUGGGUUAGUCGGGUCCUAAGCUGAGGCCGACAGGCGUAGGCGAUGGAUAACAGGUUGAUAUUCCUGUACCACCUAUAAUCGUUUUAAUCGAUGGGGGGACGCAGUAGGAUAGGCGAAGCGUGCGAUUGGAUUGCACGUCUAAGCAGUAAGGCUGAGUAUUAGGCAAAUCCGGUACUCGUUAAGGCUGAGCUGUGAUGGGGAGAAGACAUUGUGUCUUCGAGUCGUUGAUUUCACACUGCCGAGAAAAGCCUCUAGAUAGAAAAUAGGUGCCCGUACCGCAAACCGACACAGGUAGUCAAGAUGAGAAUUCUAAGGUGAGCGAGCGAACUCUCGUUAAGGAACUCGGCAAAAUGACCCCGUAACUUCGGGAGAAGGGGUGCUCUUUAGGGUUAACGCCCAGAAGAGCCGCAGUGAAUAGGCCCAAGCGACUGUUUAUCAAAAACACAGGUCUCUGCUAAACCGUAAGGUGAUGUAUAGGGGCUGACGCCUGCCCGGUGCUGGAAGGUUAAGAGGAGUGGUUAGCUUCUGCGAAGCUACGAAUCGAAGCCCCAGUAAACGGCGGCCGUAACUAUAACGGUCCUAAGGUAGCGAAAUUCCUUGUCGGGUAAGUUCCGACCCGCACGAAAGGCGUAACGAUUUGGGCACUGUCUCAACGAGAGACUCGGUGAAAUCAUAGUACCUGUGAAGAUGCAGGUUACCCGCGACAGGACGGAAAGACCCCGUGGAGCUUUACUGUAGCCUGAUAUUGAAAUUCGGCACAGCUUGUACAGGAUAGGUAGGAGCCUUUGAAACGUGAGCGCUAGCUUACGUGGAGGCGCUGGUGGGAUACUACCCUAGCUGUGUUGGCUUUCUAACCCGCACCACUUAUCGUGGUGGGAGACAGUGUCAGGCGGGCAGUUUGACUGGGGCGGUCGCCUCCUAAAAGGUAACGGAGGCGCUCAAAGGUUCCCUCAGAAUGGUUGGAAAUCAUUCAUAGAGUGUAAAGGCAUAAGGGAGCUUGACUGCGAGACCUACAAGUCGAGCAGGGUCGAAAGACGGACUUAGUGAUCCGGUG